GGGAAAGAAGAGGCCUUGGAGACAGACAGAUCAGGGUUUGCAUGCCGACUCGGCCACUUACUGCCUGAAUGACGCUGGGCCAACCCUGCACUCUCUUUGAGUCUUAGUUUCCUCAUCUGUAAAAUGGGAGUGACCACAACGCAUAUGCCAGGUUCCUGCUGUGAGGACUCAGGGAGGCAGCAUCAUGGGAGAUGCUCAGAAAGAUUUUCCUCCCCCAUCUCUCCCAUCCCCAGCUUUUGAGGUGAUAUUUUCACCUGUUGUCCCCUCCUGUGUGCCUGGCACCAGGCUGGGUGCUUGGUUAUGCUGCCUCUUAGAAUCCUGACAAUCGCUUCUGACAGGUGAUUCAGAGAUAGUUGCCACUGGAAGCGUUUGUGCCAGCUGCUAUGGGAUUUUGGCUCCUCCAGCCUUUUGGAGCUCUCUGGGGCCAGGCUGAGAAGGUUUGGAGGGGGAAGUCUCUGCACAGUGGUGUCUAAUGGUGGCAAAGCUCAGUCUCAAUUCUAAUUUGGCUUUUCACCCAGCCCCACAUGUACCAAGGACAGGUAGGCACGGAAAGACUUUAGAGACAGUUGUGGCUUCCUUGAAGAAUGUAAUGUACCGCCCUUCACCUUGGCAAAGCUUCAUACGUCUUUGUCAUAAAGCUCAUGUGGAAGAAAAGAGAAACAGAGGAAGGACAAUAGCAUUAUGCCUCACAGGCUACUGGAUGCAGGGCUGGUCUCAGGGCAGAGGCAGGAGCUCUGAGGGCAAGACCACUGAGAAGAAGAUGACCACAUAAUUUACUGUCCAAAUGGGACACAUCUGAGAAUGAAUGGGGAAAGUCAUGAUACUUAUGCUGGGACAAGAGGCAUAAACCGGACAUCUGGUCACUCUUCCUAAGAGGACACUGUCUUCAGCCUGCAGGGGACAUAGUUUUGCUGCAGUGGACGGAGCACUGGUUGGAAUCAGAAGGCGCGGAUUUGAGGUCCUGACUCUUGGUGGCUGGUGAGGCCUGAGCCAUCCCUUCACCCCCAGAGACUGCUUCCUCCUCUGCAAAGUCAGGGGUGAUACUAUCGACCUCACAGGGCUGUUGUGGAGAGUGAGUGGGAUGCUGGGCAUUGUAAAGCAUGAUUCGCCGUGAACAUAUUAGGUAUUGGGGACCAAUCCCCCUGCAGCCUCUUGUUAGUGAAGCCAGAAGAAGGGCCUUGUGGGAGAAGCCUGAUUAAGGGACCAAAAGGGAAGUAAAUGCACAGUGCUGCCUUCAACCACAUCCCAUUCCUCCAAAGGGAGAGGAAACCCUCACAUUAGCCCAAGGUAUAGGCAAGGCGGGGUCAGUGGGUCGGACAGCGUCCCUCCAGAAUUCGUAUCUACCUGGAACCUCAGAAUAUGAACUUAUUUGGAGCUAGCAUCUUGCAGAUAUAAUUGAGUCAGGAUUGAGAUGAGAUCCUACUGGAUUAGGGUGGGCCCUCAAUUCAAUGCGAGUGUCCUCGUAAGAAGAGAAGACAUACAGAGGCAGGGAGGAAGACCAUGUGAAGAUACAGGCGGAGACUGAAGUUAUGCUGCCACAAGCCAAGGAAGGCCAGUAGGCACCGGAAGCCAAAAGAGGUACGAGUAUGUUUCCUCACAGUCUUUGGAAGGUGCGACUCUGCUGACACCUGGAUUUCAGACAUCUGGUCCCUGGAACAGCGGGAGAAUACAUUUCUGCUGUUUUUAGCUAACAUGUUUGUGGUAGUUUGUUAUAGUAGCCCUAGGACACUAAUACAGCGGGGUUGAUAAGAGCGAGUGCUAUUUAUACAUCACUCAGGGUGAACCAGGCAUUGUGAUAAACACCACAAGAGAAUUACUCAUUAAAUCCUCACAAUGUGAGGGAGGUAGUAUGUUACCACCAACUACGUCUUACAGAAGAAGGGAGAGACACCUCGUAUCCAAGGCCACGUGGCUGGUGGGUGGUGGAGCCAGGAUUUGUAUCCCAGAGUCUCAACUCCAAAGCCUUCAUCAGAACCACUGAGCUUUCCUACCUCCUAUAGGAACAGGGGUCCAGUAGGCAGGCUGGUCCUGGCUGUGGUGGGAUUUCAAGGGAGCACCUUUUCUUCAAGGUUCAUACCUCAGCCUUCAACUCAUGUGUUCCUGGCAUAUGAAGCUGUGUCUCAUAAGCUGAUAGGGCUGGGCAGGGCUGGAGGGGAAGCGGUGCUGAGGGUGUCCGUCAGCAGGUCUGUAGGUGAGGGGCAGGGCUGGGAGGAGGGGAUGCACAGCGGGUACCUGGGAGGAUAUCUAGAGACUUCCUCCAUCUCUAAUAGGCAGCGAUGCCCUGAAAGGUGGCCAUUCCAGCAAUCAGGAGAUGUGGGGAUUUCAAAGCUCUGGGCUCCUCUGGUCACCAGCCCGUUGUGUGUCUGUGGGGAAGUUACCUACAUUUCUCUGGGAUCUAGUUUCCUCAUCUGUAGGACGGGAUCAACUUCUGUUCUGCUUACCUCAUAGAGCUGUUGUGAGGGUCAAGUGGACCUCUGCUCCUGGGAGAUUAUCCCAUGGAAAGAAUUCAAAAGAAAAGAACAUAAACGUGUGAAGGUACUCCUUGUAGCUUUAUUUGUAAUAGCAAAAACAAAGAAACAAACACAAACAGCUCCACGAAAGAACCAAGCCACAAACAAAGAAACAGAAACCUUCAAAUAAACCUGGAAGUUAUUACGUAUCUUCACCUGUAUGGAAAAUUGUGCAGCCCUUAAUAAGCACAACUCUGGAAGGUAGGCGGUGUGGCUACACGGAAAAUUGUUUGAGCGUUGUUACAUGGAGAGAG
Molecule: long non-coding RNA, 2764 nt
Organism: Equus caballus (horse)
Lineage: Eukaryota; Metazoa; Chordata; Mammalia; Perissodactyla; Equidae
Source: Ensembl